CAAUACAAAGACUUCUCGGAUAUGGAAGUUGGUGUAAAUCCAACACGGUCCCGCCACUGUGAGAGCAUCAAUGAUGUUCAAGUCAGAUUUUUAUCCUAGAAUGCUCAAAUGCAUGUACACUGUUUCGAGGAAAAGCAGGAG
This 141-nucleotide small RNA is filed under the name Jeotgalibaca ciconiae. The record is from RNAcentral. Lineage: Bacteria; Bacillati; Bacillota; Bacilli; Lactobacillales; Carnobacteriaceae.